CUUGACGGAACCGAGCCGCAGCGGACGCCCCUCCGGCCGGUCGCGGCCGUAGGUGGCGAGCAGCGCCUGGGCCUC
Molecule: antisense RNA, 75 nt
Rfam family: ASpks TB sRNA